Acanthosepion pharaonis is the source of this 113-nucleotide non-coding RNA. The record is from the annotation of a GenBank genome assembly. Lineage: Eukaryota; Metazoa; Mollusca; Cephalopoda; Sepiida; Sepiidae.
UUACGGCCAUAUCACGUUGAAACACCGGUUCGUGUACGAUCACUGAAGUUAAGCAACGUUGAACCGGGUCAGGAACUAGAUGGGUGACCACUUGGGAAUACUAGGUGCUGUAA